GCGGCGUGCCUAAUACAUGCAAGUCGAGCGAAUUGAUGGGAGCUUGCUCCCUGAUAUUAGCGGCGGACGGGUGAGUAACACGUGGGUAACCUGCCUGUAAGAUUGGGAUAACUCCGGGAAACCGGAGCUAAUACCGGAUAACAUGUUGAACCGCAUGGUUCAACAUUGAAAGAUGGCUUUUGCUAUCACUUACAGAUGGACCCGCGGCGCAUUAGCUAGUUGGUGAGGUAACGGCUCACCAAGGCGACGAUGCGUAGCCGACCUGAGAGGGUGAUCGGCCACACUGGGACUGAGACACGGCCCAGACUCCUACGGGAGGCAGCAGUAGGGAAUCUUCCGCAAUGGACGAAAGUCUGACGGAGCAACGCCGCGUGAACGAUGAAGGCCUUCGGGUCGUAAAGUUCUGUUGUUAGGGAAGAACAAGUACCAGAGUAACUGCUGGUACCUUGACGGUACCUAACCAGAAAGCCACGGCUAACUACGUGCCAGCAGCCGCGGUAAUACGUAGGUGGCAAGCGUUGUCCGGAAUUAUUGGGCGUAAAGCGCGCGCAGGUGGUUUCUUAAGUCUGAUGUGAAAGCCCACGGCUCAACCGUGGAGGGUCAUUUGGAAACUGGGGAACUUGAUU
RNAcentral lists this ribosomal RNA (626 nucleotides) under uncultured Bacillus sp. RNAcentral's name for it is "bacterial SSU rRNA". It matches the Rfam family "Bacterial small subunit ribosomal RNA", at positions 39 to 647 of the family's 1533-position model. Lineage: Bacteria; Bacillati; Bacillota; Bacilli; Caryophanales; Bacillaceae. The record is from RNAcentral.